AUGGGGUGGAAGGGCGUCCUGGGGUUCGACUACGGCGUCGUGCAGGCACCGCUCGGCCCCGACAUCUCCGGCCCGGAGCUCGCCGCCGCCGUCGCCAACGCUGGCGCCAUAGGCCUCCUCCGCCUUCCUGACUGGUCGGCGCCGGACCACGUGAGGGAGCUGAUACGGAGGACCAGGAGCCUGACCGAGAAGCCAUUCGGGGCGGCCAUCGUGCUGGCCUUCCCGCACGAGGAGAAUCUGAGGGUCGUGCUGGAGGAGAAGAUCGCCGUGCUGCAGGUGUACUGGGGCGAGUUCCCCAAGGAGCGGGUCGACGAGGCCCACCGCGCCGGCGUCAAGGUCUUGCAUCAGGUUGGUAACCUUGAGGAGGCAGCAAAAGCUAAGGAAGCUGGUGUAGAUGGAAUUAUCGUUCAAGGCCGUGAAGCAGGGGGGCAUGUGAUUGGUCAAGAGGGUCUGCUACCAUUGCUGCCGAGAGUAGUAGAUCUAGUUUCGGAUAGUACUAUUUCAGUUAUCGCCGCUGGUGGAAUUGUAGAUGGCCGUGGCUACGCUGCUGCAUUGGCACUUGGUGCUCAUGGUGUUUGCUUAGGAACUAGGUUUGUAGCCACCGAGGAAAGCUUUGCGCAUCCGCUGUAUAAGAAAAAGCUAAUUGAGAUGAAUUGCACGGACUGUACAACUGUGUUCGGGCGUGCUAGAUGGCCUGGUGCUCCACAACGUAAUCUUCCAGAUCAUGAAACAGAGGAAAAUCAGCCUAUUAUAGGUCAUUCUAUCAUCCAUGGUGUGCACAAGGAUAUACAUCGGUUUGCUGGUACUGUUCCUAAUGCGACAACAACAGGCGAUAUCGAUAGCAUGGCCAUGUAUGCUGGCCAGGGUGUUGGGCUAAUCACGGAGAUUGUACCAGCAAGGGAAGUUGUCAAGAGGCUAGUUGUCGAAGCACAGCGCGUCAUUGGAGAAAAGCUUUCUGGUUUCCCCAAAUCAUCAGAGUAG
Molecule: ribosomal RNA, 981 nt
Filed under: Triticum aestivum (bread wheat)
Lineage: Eukaryota; Viridiplantae; Streptophyta; Magnoliopsida; Poales; Poaceae
Description: partial small subunit ribosomal RNA
Source: RNAcentral